AAAAAAAACAAAAGGAAUUAUCUGCUAUCAUAAACCUCCAUCUCAUUUCCUGUUCUCUAUGCUUUACUGUGAAAGAAAAAAAAAGCCUUCUCCAAUCUAUUCACAAAUUUCUACCUUCAAAAGCUCCGCCUUCUUCUUCACAGGUAUAUGGUUUGUGAAUUCAAGGAUUUGGAAGGUGGAUACGGUGGAGGUUAUUGUUGCGCGGAGGUGAACGAUGAAGGGGAACAGAGGCGGUGGCUCGAUGAUGGUGGAUGA
RNAcentral lists this long non-coding RNA (255 nucleotides) under Vicia faba (fava bean). Lineage: Eukaryota; Viridiplantae; Streptophyta; Magnoliopsida; Fabales; Fabaceae. The record is from RNAcentral.